RNAcentral lists this long non-coding RNA (465 nucleotides) under Callithrix jacchus (white-tufted-ear marmoset). RNAcentral describes it as "lncRNA (ENSCJAG00000071244.1)". The record is from RNAcentral. Lineage: Eukaryota; Metazoa; Chordata; Mammalia; Primates; Cebidae.
CAACCCUGUAUAUUAUGUAACCAUGUCAUGUGAGGUGCAUUAGGUAACUCAUGUGAGCUCAUUCUUGGUUAGGAGCCACUGUUGUCUGUAAAAGGUAUAACUAACCUGCUGAGGCUGUACAUAUGGCUCAUGCCCAGAGAGAGAAUAAAGCCAUGUCACAAAUGCCUAUGAUUCCUAUGAUUCUCAAGUGUUUUUCCAGCUACAUGCCACCUGCCCACUGAGUCCCCUUGGACUCCAGCUUGAGCUUGAACCUGAUAACUGGUGUAGUCAGCAGGAUCCCGAGUGCUAUGAAUGGUGUAAGCAAGACUCUCUUGAGAGAGAAGGGCUUCAUGGAGAAGCUGAUUUUGCUGGUGGUGAAGCAGGGGAUGGUCAUUCCGGGCAGAGGUUGCAGGUAAGCCCAGGUAUGUCUUGGAACAUUUAGAAUGCAUGGAGAAUGUGCAGGAGAUGAGUCUGGAAAGGAAGGAC